ACUGCGGAAAGACACGGAGGCCUGUACAGGACCGCGGUGCGCUCACACACCAACGCCCCACUCGUUCGCACCGUCAGGGGCAGCGAGCUGAAAGCAACUCACACGGGGAACGAGCGUGAAGCGACGCGGGGAUGGGGUGCUUCCAGAGGCUUAACACCGAACCCCUCCUGCGGAGCGCUGGUGAAGCUGCCUUGAGAACAACGACGCCCAACAUGCAACGCGCCCCGCUGGGCGGGCCUCGUCCUCAGCACCCUACGGCGAGAUUCAGUGAUGGCUGAAGAGUACAUGACACAAGCUGGCAGGUGGUACAGCAUAAGAUUUACACAUAAAUGAAGAUCGCAAGGCAGUCUAACCUUCUGACUUGAGUGGACUAAAUAAUUUUACCUUGUUAGAGUUUUGGUGAAAUUAAAGUUCAUGUCUUUAGAAGAGCAAUGGUCUAUAUCUCAAUAUAUCAAUCAGCUGGC
Aptenodytes forsteri (emperor penguin) is the source of this 464-nucleotide long non-coding RNA. RefSeq lists it as uncharacterized. The transcript is spliced from 3 exons. NCBI's taxonomy places the organism in Eukaryota, Metazoa, Chordata, Aves, Sphenisciformes, Spheniscidae. The record is from RefSeq and is a predicted model, not a curated record.